Regulatory RNA element from Firmicutes bacterium CAG:646, 229 nucleotides. It matches the Rfam family "T-box leader". From Rfam's summary of the family: Uncharged tRNA acts as the effector for transcription antitermination of genes in the T-box leader family. T-boxes are found upstream of many aminoacyl-tRNA synthetase genes and some amino acid biosynthetic genes usually in Gram-positive bacteria. NCBI's taxonomy places the organism in Bacteria, Bacillati, Bacillota. The record is from Rfam.
CAAAAUCCAAGGAAGAGAACAAGUCUGUGUUCCUAAGUGGUAUUUCAGAGAGUCUGCGGCUGGUGAAAGCAGAUAUACCGGGGAGAAUAGAUAUCAUCUCGAAGGAGCUGACUGAAAUAAUAGUAAGUUAUGCCGGAAUCCCCCGUUACAGGGAAAACGUAUGAAAGUACGUGAGAGCUGUAGAAAAUACAGAAAUAGGGUGGUACCGCGGAUUCUAUUCGUCCCUUUC